This 715-nucleotide ribosomal RNA is filed under the name Pseudomonas plecoglossicida. RNAcentral's name for it is "bacterial SSU rRNA". It matches the Rfam family "Bacterial small subunit ribosomal RNA", at positions 34 to 728 of the family's 1533-position model. The record is from RNAcentral. Lineage: Bacteria; Pseudomonadati; Pseudomonadota; Gammaproteobacteria; Pseudomonadales; Pseudomonadaceae.
UGGUAAGUGCAGUGUCCAUCGCCAUGCAAGUCGAGCGGAUGACGGGAGCUUGCUCCUUGAUUCAGCGGCGGUAUGGGUGAGAUAAUGCCUAGGAAUCUGCCUGGUAGUGGGGGACAACGUUUCGAAAGGAACGCUAAUACCGCAUACGUCCUACGGGGGAAAGCAGGGGACCUUCGGGCCUUGCGCUAUCAGAUGAGCCUAGGUCGGAUUAGCUAGUUGGUGAGGUAAUGGCUCACCAAGGCGACGAUCCGUAACUGGUCUGAGAGGAUGAUCAGUCACACUGGAACUGAGACACGGUCCAGACUCCUACGGGAGGCAGCAGUGGGGAAUAUUGGACAAUGGGCGAAAGCCUGAUCCAGCCAUGCCGCGUGUGUGAAGAAGGUCUUCGGAUUGUAAAGCACUUUAAGUUGGGAGGAAGGGCAGUAAGUUAAUACCUUUUCUGUUUUGACGUUACCGACAGAAUAAGCACCGGCUAACUCUGUGCCAGCAGCCGCGGUAAUACAGAGGGUGCAAGCGUUAAUCGGAAUUACUGGGGCGUAAAGCGCGCGUAGGUGGUUCGUUAAGUUGGGAUGUGAAAGCCCCGGGCUCAACCUGGGAACUGCAUCCAAAACUGGGCGAGCUAAAGUACCGGUAGAGGGUGGUGGGAAUUUUCCUGUGUACCGGUGAAAUGCGUUAGAUAGAGGGAAAGGAACACCAGGUGCUGAUGGGCGACCCC